UGACGUUAGCGGCGGACGGGUGAGUAACACGUGGGUAACCUACCUAUAAGACUGGGAUAACUUCGGGAAACCGGAGCUAAUACCGGAUAAUAUUUCGAACCGCAUGGUUCGAUAGUGAAAGAUGGCUCUGCUAUCACUUAUAGAUGGACCUGCGCCGUAUUAGCUAGUUGGUAAGGUAACGGCUUACCAAGGCAACGAUACGUAGCCGACCUGAGAGGGUGAUCGGCCACACUGGAACUGAGACACGGUCCAGACUCCUACGGGAGGCAGCAGUAGGGAAUCUUCCGCAAUGGGCGAAAGCCUGACGGAGCAACGCCGCGUGAGUGAUGAAGGUCUUCGGAUCGUAAAACUCUGUUAUUAGGGAAGAACAAACGUGUAAGUAACUGUGCACGUCUUGACGGUACCUAAUCAGAAAGCCACGGCUAACUACGUGCCAGCAGCCGCGGUAAUACGUAGGUGGCAAGCGUUAUCCGGAAUUAUUGGGCGUAAAGCGCGCGUAGGCGGUUUUUUAAGUCUGAUGUGAAAGCCCACGGCUCAACCGUGGAGGGUCAUUGGAAACUGGAAAACUUGAGUGCAGAAGAGGAAAGUGGAAUUCCAUGUGUAGCGGUGAAAUGCGCAGAGAUAUGGAGGAACACCAGUGGCGAAGGCGACUUUCUGGUCUGUAACUGACGCUGAUGUGCGAAAGCGUGGGGAUCAAACAGGAUUAGAUACCCUGGUAGUCCACGCCGUAAACGAUGAGUGCUAAGUGUUAGGGGGUUUCCGCCCCUUAGUGCUGCAGCUAACGCAUUAAGCACUCCGCCUGGG
Molecule: ribosomal RNA, 804 nt
Filed under: Staphylococcus sp. 10-C-237-7
Lineage: Bacteria; Bacillati; Bacillota; Bacilli; Caryophanales; Staphylococcaceae
Also listed under: 1 other name
Description: bacterial SSU rRNA
Rfam family: Bacterial small subunit ribosomal RNA
Source: RNAcentral